ACAUGCAAGUCGAACGAGAAUCUGCGGAAAGAGGAUUCGUCCAAUUGAAGCAGAGGACAGUGGCGGACGGGUGAGUAACGCGUGAGGAACCUGCCUUUCAGAGGGGGACAACAGUUGGAAACGACUGCUAAUACCGCAUGACACAUUGAGGUCGCAUGGCCUUAAUGUCAAAGAUUUAUCACUGUGAGAUGGACCCGCGUCUGAUUAGCCAGUUGGCAGGGUAACGGCCUACCAAAGCGACGAUCAGUAGCCGACCUGAGAGGGUGACCGGCCACAUUGGGACUGAGACACGGCCCAAACUCCUACGGGAGGCAGCAGUGGGGGAUAUUGCACAAUGGAGGAAACUCUGAUGCAGCGACGCCGCGUGAGUGAAGAAGUAUUUCGGUAUGUAAAGCCCUAUCAGCAGGGAAGAUAAUGACAGUACCUGACCAAGAAGCCCCGGCUAACUACGUG
RNAcentral lists this ribosomal RNA (453 nucleotides) under uncultured bacterium. Its description in RNAcentral is "bacterial SSU rRNA". It matches the Rfam family "Bacterial small subunit ribosomal RNA", at positions 53 to 507 of the family's 1533-position model. The record is from RNAcentral.